UCAGGUUGAAACAGCGAUUUCCGUACGAUCACCGAAGUUAAGCAACGUCGAACCUGGCCAGUACCUAGAUGGGUGACCACUUGAGAAUAUCAGAUGCUGAA
This is a non-coding RNA of Acanthosepion pharaonis, 101 nucleotides long. The record is from the annotation of a GenBank genome assembly. NCBI's taxonomy places the organism in Eukaryota, Metazoa, Mollusca, Cephalopoda, Sepiida, Sepiidae.